GAUGAACGCUGGCGGCGUGCCUAAUACAUGCAAGUCGAGCGAACGGACGAGAAGCUUGCUUCUCUGAUGUUAGCGGCGGACGGGUGAGUAACACGUGGAUAACCUACCUAUAAGACUGGGAUAACUUCGGGAAACCGGAGCUAAUACCGGAUAAUAUUUUGAACCGCAUGGUUCAAAAGUGAAAGACGGUCUUGCUGUCACUUAUAGAUGGAUCCGCGCUGCAUUAGCUAGUUGGUAAGGUAACGGCUUACCAAGGCAACGAUGCAUAGCCGACCUGAGAGGGUGAUCGGCCACACUGGAACUGAGACACGGUCCAGACUCCUACGGGAGGCAGCAGUAGGGAAUCUUCCGCAAUGGGCGAAAGCCUGACGGAGCAACGCCGCGUGAGUGAUGAAGGUCUUCGGAUCGUAAAACUCUGUUAUUAGGGAAGAACAUAUGUGUAAGUAACUGUGCACAUCUUGACGGUACCUAAUCAGAAAGCCACGGCUAACUACGUGCCAGCAGCCGCGGUAAUACGUAGGUGGGCAGCGUUAUCCGGAAUUUAUGGGCGUNAAGCGCGCGUAGGCGGUUUUUUAGUCUGAUGUGAAAGCCCACGGCUCAACCGUGGAGGGUCAUUGGAAACUGGAAAACUUGAGUGCAGAAGAGGAAAGUGGAAUUCCAUGUGUAGCGGUGAAAUGCGCAGAGAUAUGGAGGAACACCAGUGGCGAAGGCGACUUUCUGGUCUGUAACUGACGCUGAUGUGCGAAAGCGUGGGGAUCAAACAGGAUUAGAUACCCUGGUAGUCCACGCCGUAAACGAUGAGUGCUAAGUGUUAGGGGGUUUCCGCCCCUUAGUGCUGCAGCUAACGCAUUAAGCACUCCGCCUGGGGAGUACGACCGCAAGGUUGAAACUCAAAGGAAUUGACGGGGACCCGCACAAGCGGUGGAGCAUGUGGUUUAAUUCGAAGCAACGCGAAGAACCUUACCAAAUCUUGACAUCCUUUGACAACUCUAGAGAUAGAGCCUUCCCCUUCGGGGGACAAAGUGACAGGUGGUGCAUGGUUGUCGUCAGCUCGUGUCGUGAGAUGUUGGGUUAAGUCCCGCAACGAGCGCAACCCUUAAGCUUAGUUGCCAUCAUUAAGUUGGGCACUCUAAGUUGACUGCCGGUGACAAACCGGAGGAAGGUGGGGAUGACGUCAAAUCAUCAUGCCCCUUAUGAUUUGGGCUACACACGUGCUACAAUGGACAAUACAAAGGGCAGCGAAACCGCGAGGUCAAGCAAAUCCCAUAAAGUUGUUCUCAGUUCGGAUUGUAGUCUGCAACUCGACUACAUGAAGCUGGAAUCGCUAGUAAUCGUAGAUCAGCAUGCUACGGUGAAUACGUUCCCGGGUCU
RNAcentral lists this ribosomal RNA (1371 nucleotides) under uncultured bacterium. RNAcentral describes it as "bacterial SSU rRNA". It matches the Rfam family "Bacterial small subunit ribosomal RNA", at positions 28 to 1381 of the family's 1533-position model. The record is from RNAcentral.